Molecule: non-coding RNA, 24 nt
Filed under: Arabidopsis thaliana (thale cress)
Lineage: Eukaryota; Viridiplantae; Streptophyta; Magnoliopsida; Brassicales; Brassicaceae
Source: RNAcentral
CUAAGUAGUGUUUCCUUGUUAGAA